This is a long non-coding RNA of Ornithodoros turicata, 170 nucleotides long. RefSeq lists it as uncharacterized. The transcript has 3 exons. Lineage: Eukaryota; Metazoa; Arthropoda; Arachnida; Ixodida; Argasidae. The record is from RefSeq and is a predicted model, not a curated record.
CACCCGUGCAACUUCGUCAUGUGCUCCACGGCUUUACGGCUGUGCCACUAUGUGUGGAAACGUCGUAGCGGAUGAAUGUGAAUUAUGGAUCUCCAAGUGGCGUCGCCCGCGUCAUUUUCAAGAUUUUACCCGUUUUGAAGGCAAUAGGGCUGUUGAUACGGAGAAUGCUA